GUGACGUGCGUUGAGGUUUAUGGCUGGUGAGGCACUGACUUUUCUUGAGUCAGAUUUACAAUUGUAAGAACUGAAAAGAGCAUCUAAUUUCACUAUUCAUCCAACAGCAUGCAACUGGUAAUGCUUCAUAACCCAAUGCAGCUGGAAAGCACCUGUCAGUUCACGUCCGCCCCCUGGAGGUGAGGCAGAGUACUGCCUGCCUCACCUGCUGACUUUUCUCUGCACUUUAUUGUACGAUCAGCAGAAACAAUUCUCUCACACGAACA
Sphaeramia orbicularis (orbiculate cardinalfish) is the source of this 266-nucleotide long non-coding RNA. RefSeq lists it as uncharacterized. The record is from RefSeq and is a predicted model, not a curated record. Lineage: Eukaryota; Metazoa; Chordata; Actinopteri; Kurtiformes; Apogonidae. The transcript is spliced from 3 exons.